RNAcentral lists this ribosomal RNA (282 nucleotides) under Triticum aestivum (bread wheat). Its description in RNAcentral is "partial small subunit ribosomal RNA". The record is from RNAcentral. Lineage: Eukaryota; Viridiplantae; Streptophyta; Magnoliopsida; Poales; Poaceae.
AUGGCGUUGCGUUCCCACCAUGCGAGGCAGUGGGCAUGGGAGGCGAUGAUAGCCCUCGCGACAGACAUCGGCAUGACGGAGUCGCACUCUUCGAUGCUGCAGCGGUUCAUCCUCUUCCUCUCCCCACUGUACUGGAGAAAACACCUGGUGAAGGCGAUUCACGCUGGGCUCCAUCUUCGCGGUGGAUCACGCUGCAGCUUCAUGGGGGAGCGGAUCACGCUGCAGCUCGAAGGCACUGCGGCUCCAACUACAUCUCGGCGGCCCGGCAGCUCGAAGACGUAG